RNAcentral lists this ribosomal RNA (496 nucleotides) under uncultured bacterium. RNAcentral describes it as "partial 16S ribosomal RNA". It matches the Rfam family "Bacterial small subunit ribosomal RNA", at positions 28 to 507 of the family's 1533-position model. The record is from RNAcentral.
GAUGAACGCUGGCGGCGUGCCUAAUACAUGCAAGUCGAGCGAACGGACGAGAAGCUUGCUUCUCUGAUGUUAGCGGCGGACGGGCGAGUAACACGUGGAUAACCUACCUAUAAGACUGGGAUAACUUCGGGAAACCGGAGCUAAUACCGGAUAAUAUUUUGAACCGCAUGGUUCAAAAGUGAAAGACGGUCUUGCUGUCACUUAUAGAUGGAUCCGCGCUGCAUUAGCUAGUUGGUAAGGUAACGGCUUACCAAGGCAACGAUGCAUAGCCGACCUGAGAGGGUGAUCGGCCACACUGGAACUGAGACACGGUCCAGACUCCUACGGGAGGCAGCAGUAGGGAAUCUUCCGCAAUGGGCGAAAGCCUGACGGAGCAACGCCGCGUGGGUGAUGAAGGUCUUCGGAUCGUAAAACUCUGUUAUUAGGAAGAACAUAUGUGUAAGUAACUGUGCACAUCUUGACGGUACCUAAUCAGAAAGCCACGGCUAACUACGUG